RNAcentral lists this long non-coding RNA (276 nucleotides) under Amborella trichopoda. RNAcentral describes it as "long non-coding RNA (ATRI_LNC000685)". Lineage: Eukaryota; Viridiplantae; Streptophyta; Magnoliopsida; Amborellales; Amborellaceae. The record is from RNAcentral.
CUAUUUAAAAAAGCAAAAAUGUCCGAUAGCAAGUUUAUCGGUUAAUUCAAUAAGAAAUGGGAGUUCUCGCUCGAUUUAAUUGGUACUAUCUAAUUGAAUCCGAUUCAAUCGCUUACUGAUGAGAUAGAAAUAAUGAGUUUGAAUUUGACAGUUCAACCAACCUUUCCUUCUUCGAGAUAUCGAGUAGAUGAAGAAAAAUCCUGAGAAAGUCUUUACUUUUAUUUAUCUGCAUCUCUUUUCUAUUAUAGACAAUCCCAUCUAGUCAGAUUCAUAUAU